CACCCUACACUCUAAACUCUAAACAGAAAUGUGCCCGACAACAAGGGCUAUUUUGAUAAAAUAGAUACAGAACAUAAAACCUCUCAUUUCUG
This 92-nucleotide transfer RNA is filed under the name Aphaniotis fusca (Dusky earless agama). RNAcentral's name for it is "tRNA-Ile". Lineage: Eukaryota; Metazoa; Chordata; Lepidosauria; Squamata; Agamidae. The record is from RNAcentral.